GCGACCCCAGGUCAGGCGGGAUUAC
Molecule: non-coding RNA, 25 nt
Filed under: Arabidopsis thaliana (thale cress)
Lineage: Eukaryota; Viridiplantae; Streptophyta; Magnoliopsida; Brassicales; Brassicaceae
Also listed under: 2 other names
Source: RNAcentral